CCUUGCCCGACAAGGUGAAACCUUACCCGACCCUCUUUGUUCUGUCUUUUCAUUCAUAAAUCUAGUAAUAUGAUGUAUACUUCCAUCUGUAUCCAAGUUAUUUCUAGCAAGUUUAUGAUUAAAAGGUGUCUUAGUUCUUGAAUCUGGUCGGUUUAAUGGUGCCCAACCAUGUAAAAGUAAAGUUGGAAUCCGCACUCAUAGCUAGACCGGAUCUAAGUUCUAA
Molecule: long non-coding RNA, 223 nt
Filed under: Malus domestica (apple)
Lineage: Eukaryota; Viridiplantae; Streptophyta; Magnoliopsida; Rosales; Rosaceae
Description: long non-coding RNA (MDOM_LNC012047)
Source: RNAcentral